AAAAAAAUGGUAAGUACAUCUUUGAUCUUGUAGAUCGUUGCAUAGAAGAGAUUGGGGAGAAACAUGUAGUUCAAGUAGUGACUGAUAAUGCAAGUGUGAAUCAAGCAGCAUCUAAGUUGUUGAACGCAAAGCGCCCCAAGGUAUUUUGGAAUGGUUGUGCUGCCCACUGUAUAGAUCUGAUGCUAGAGGACAUUGGGAAGCUGCCAUCAGUUGACUCCACCAUUACAAAAGCUAGAGCUGUGACGGUUUUCCUUUAUGCACACACAAGGGUUUUGAACCUAAUGAGGGAAUUCCUUAGUAAAGAUUUGGUUAGGUCUGGUAUUACAAGGUUCGCUACAGCAUACUUGAACUUGAAAAGCAUGUUGGACAACAAGAAACAACUCCAGAAACUAUUUAGAUCAGAUGAGCUUGAUGAAAUGGGAUAUUUAAAAAAGGUUAAAGGAAAUGAAGCUAGCAAAACUGUGCGCUCUGAAACUUUUUGGAGAGGAGUAGACAUUGCUGUCAAGUUCUUUGAGCCAUUGGCUAAUUUGCUCCGGAGGAUGGACAGCGAUGUACCGGCUAUGGGAUUCAUAUACGGCGCCUUUUUGGAUGCAAAGCAAGAGAUCAAAACUAAGUUUGAAAAUGAACAAGGAUCUUGUUUUCAGGAAGUGUUGGAUAUUGUGGAUAAAAGAUGGGACAGCAAGUUGAAGGGGCCACUACAUAGGGCUGGAUACUUCUUAAAUCCAUACUACUACUAUGAAAACAAGAAGCAAAUUGAGUUAGAUGGAUCAUUUGAAGCUGGGCUUAUAACUUGCAUGGAAAAAAUGGUUGAAGAUGUUGUCCUUCAAGACAAAAUCAAUGAUGAGCUUGUGGCAUAUCGAAAGGAACAGGGGACAUUUGGAAGAGAAAUUGCCAAAAGGCAGCGGAGAAACAAAAGCUUUGAUCCAGCUCAAUGGUGGUCCAGUCAUGGGUCAGAUUCACCAAAUCUCAGAGUAUUGGCGAUGCGGAUUUUGAGUUUGACAUGCAGCUCCUCCGCUUGUGAGAGGAAUUUUAGU
RNAcentral lists this ribosomal RNA (1034 nucleotides) under Triticum aestivum (bread wheat). Its description in RNAcentral is "partial small subunit ribosomal RNA". The record is from RNAcentral. Lineage: Eukaryota; Viridiplantae; Streptophyta; Magnoliopsida; Poales; Poaceae.